RNAcentral lists this ribosomal RNA (421 nucleotides) under Amietia nutti. Its description in RNAcentral is "partial 16S ribosomal RNA". It matches the Rfam family "Bacterial large subunit ribosomal RNA", at positions 1925 to 2512 of the family's 2925-position model. The record is from RNAcentral. Lineage: Eukaryota; Metazoa; Chordata; Amphibia; Anura; Pyxicephalidae.
UAACGGCCGCGGUACCCUAACCGUGCGAAGGUAGCAUAAUCACUUGUUCUUUAAAUAGGGACUAGUAUCAACGGCAUCACGAGGGUUACACUGUCUCCUUUCUCCAAUCAGUGAAACUGAUCUCUUCGUGAAGAAGCGAAGAUAUAACUAUUAGACGAGAAGACCCCAUGGAGCUUUAAGCUCAACAACAAUUUUUAUAAAAAUAAUCCUUCACAAUACACAAACCCUGUUUGUUAGCUUUAGGUUGGGGUGACCGCGGAGUAUAACUUAACCUCCACAACGAAAAGGCAUAAAACCCUUAUCCAAGAGCCACUGCUCUAAGAAUCACUAAAUUGACGUACAAUGAUCCGAUUAUCGAUCAACGGACUAAGUUACCCUGGGGAUAACAGCGCAAUCCAUUUUUAGAGCCCCUAUCGACAAA